AAGGGAGAGGAAUAAGUAGAAAUCUACCCUCGGAUCGGGGAUAGCGGCGGGAAACUGCCGGUAAUACCCGAUAACGUCUUUGGACCAAAGGUGUGAUUCCGUCUGAGGAUGAGUCUACUUCCUAUUAGCUAGUUGGCGGGGUAAUGGCCCACCAAGGCAACGAUGGGUAGCAGGUGUGAGAGCAUGACCUGCCUCAUUGGGACUGAGACACUGCCCAGACACCUACGGGUGGCUGCAGUCGAGAAUCUUCGGCAAUGGACGAAAGUCUGACCGAGCGACGCCGCGUGCGGGAUGAAGGCCUUCGGGUUGUAAACCGCUGUCGGAGGGGAACAAAUGUACGGGGGUUCUCCCCUGUAUUUGAGUGAACCUAGGAGGAAGGAGAGGCUAAGCUCGUGCCAGCAGCCGCGGUAAGACGAGCUCUCCGAACGUUAUUCGGUAUCACUGGGCUUAAAGAGUUCGUAGGCGGUCUGGUAGGUGAGGUGUGAAAUCCCCCGGCUCAACCGGGGAACUGCGCUUCAAACCGCCGGACUUGAGGGAGACAGAGGUGGGCGGAACAGAUGGU
RNAcentral lists this ribosomal RNA (562 nucleotides) under uncultured bacterium. RNAcentral's name for it is "bacterial SSU rRNA". It matches the Rfam family "Bacterial small subunit ribosomal RNA", at positions 102 to 674 of the family's 1533-position model. The record is from RNAcentral.